GACGAACGCUGGCGGCGUGCUUAACACAUGCAAGUCGAACGGAAAGGCCCUGCUUGCAGGGUACUCGAGUGGCGAACGGGUGAGUAACACGUGGGUGAUCUGCCCUGCACUUCGGGAUAAGCCUGGGAAACUGGGUCUAAUACCGGAUAGGAGCCAUUUUUAGUGUGAUGGUUGGAAAGUUUUUUCGGUGUAGGAUGAGCUCGCGGCCUAUCAGCUUGUUGGUGGGGUAAUGGCCUACCAAGGCGGCGACGGGUAGCCGGCCUGAGAGGGUGGACGGCCACAGUGGGACUGAGAUACGGCCCAGACGCCUACGGGAGGCAGCAGUGGGGAAUAUUGCACAAUGGGCGCAAGCCUGAUGCAGCGACGCCGCGUGGGGGAUGACGGCCUUCGGGUUGUAAACUCCUUUCGCUAGGGACGAAGCUUUUUGUGACGGUACCUAGAUAAGAAGCACCGGCUAACUACGUG
Molecule: ribosomal RNA, 465 nt
Filed under: uncultured bacterium
Lineage: Bacteria
Description: partial 16S ribosomal RNA
Rfam family: Bacterial small subunit ribosomal RNA
Source: RNAcentral